This 3306-nucleotide unclassified non-coding RNA is filed under the name Leishmania donovani. Its description in RNAcentral is "gene:unknown". Lineage: Eukaryota; Euglenozoa; Kinetoplastea; Trypanosomatida; Trypanosomatidae. The record is from RNAcentral.
UAUCCGCUGUACGCACGUGGCCAAGGGAAGAUCGCCACACCCACGCCUUUUCCGCGUGGACAUUCAGCCAAGAUGUGGAACUGGCCUAAGGGCUGCAGCGGUUGUCAACGUGGUCAGGGCUCGGCUUGCAAGGCGGAAGGCAGUGCGCUCGCACGGAUAGGGCCCGCCGAAGGAUCCUCUUCGCUCUUCUUACAUGGCACUGCUUGAAUCGAAGCUGGUCUCGGGUGUGCCACCACGUGGCGGGACGGUGCUGGCCGGAAACUGCUGAAAGGCCUCUGAGCACCUUCACGCCAAAGCAGCCGCAGCCGCAGCGGCUACUCUCUCCAUACACAGACAACAGAGACCGACUCGAGGCCGAUCUCCUGCCCCUCGACCCCAGAGUAUUGCUGCGCUGUGCACGCCUGCAUCCCUCCGCAGCCACGCCAGGAGGCAACCUUGCGCACUUGGCGCGGGAGGUGCACACGCCGGAUGGCGGUGUCGUCACAACGCUUCCGCAGAUCUUACGCCGGUGUGCAGGCAUUGACACACCUCGGAGCUGCGCAUGCAUGCACAGCCGUCGCGUGUACACCAGCAUAUCACUCCCUGGCGGGCUGUGGGAGCACAUCUCAGAGGACCGAAAACCAGCAGCACGCAGGCAGCAACUCUCUCGUUUUUCGAAGCGCCCUUAUUGAUGGCAUACUGCAGCGCACCGGAGGCACAAGCGCUGGCGCGAUUGGCAUGUCGCGUGCGCCUCCGAUUUCAGCCUGCCUUUUCGCACCGCGAAUUGGAACACAAGGAAAGAGUGCACAGACUUUCGAAAUAGGCAGCGCCGGAGGCGCCAUCACCAACUGCAUGGACCACGGCCCGGUUACCGGUCCCUGACGCCGAGCCGACAUCCCCCGAAACCUCGCCGCACGACGCGACACGCGACGCCAAGAGCUACUUGGCGGCAACUGCUCCACACCGAACAGGAGCGCUGAGCUUACAAGGCGAUAGGAGACCGUUCUCACCUAGCUGCGCACGAGCACUUGUCCGCACUUUAGUUUCCUGCAGCAGCGGAUGACGAGCAGUGGCGGGAUGGAGUGCAGGUGAUGUACUGCCCACUACUACGCUGGCGCUGCGGUGCACCCCUUUCCCCCACCCCGCCCCCGCCAGAGCCACCAGCCUCGCCUGUGCUUUCCUGCGAGGGCGUCCGACCCGGCGUGGUGCCCUGCAUGCCACGCGUGAUUUGCGGAUCGCUUGACGCUCUAAGCACACCUCUCUUUACGCUGCAUGGGCUUCCGACGUCGGGUGUCUGUGGCUGUCCCCUCUGUGCGCAGGCACAUGCUUGUGCACGGGCCCCGCCGCUUGACACACCUGCUCCUGUCCAGGGCCUGCAGACGCAGGAGAGGGUGGAAUGCCUCCCGCCGCCACGGACGCACAGCAGCGUCCCACCUGUAACACCCGUCGUGGUACGUGCGGGUGGGUCAUCCCGACCCCUUCCCCCAAAGAAGCGACGGAAGAGGACAGAGAGUGACCCGCGCGGCAACAACGUCCUGAAACAAGCCCCGAGAUCCAGUAGUGCGAGCACUGUGUGUGCACACACUGGCAGUCAAACCUAGCAUGACUCAUCCCAUCGAAACGAAGCAUGCAGAUGUGAGAAGUGCACGGGUGAUCGACGGAGAAGGCGCACGCGUGCGAAACAUGCGGCACCUCCUACACCCGACCGGGUGGGCUGAUGAAACACCGAUGUCGGAAACAUGGCGAGAGCGCCGUGAAUAGCACCGUCGAAUUCUGCAGACCCGAAUGCCACGAGCCCCCAGGCCAUGCUAUGGGAUACUGCGGCGUGAUGCGACUGUGCGGGAUGGGGCGGGCGAGGCAUGGCACACAGGCGGGGCGCAGGGGCUCGGGGGGCCCUGGCCUGCGGCUGCCCAACUUUCUUCCUGAGCUCACCCGACAUGCGCCUGGACCCCGCCCCCUGCUGCCCUGCACGGAAGGCGCCACCUCUUGCUGCCCUCCGGCGGUGGACCCUGGGCGCGGCCCGCGUGGGUCAAGGCGUGCGGUGCCCCUCGAGUUUUCAUCUGGCGCCGAUCGCGCCGCACGCAUGCAAGGAAAGGACGAGGAAGGACAGUAGGAGACCGUUGGAUGCGUGGCCCCAAUUCGACGGCAGGGAGUGUUUUUCCUGGGCGGCCGGGAUUCCAGUCGCAGCGCACCGGGAGGUGGGUGAGCUGUGACUGCGCGCGUGCACGUUUUGCGGGAUCGUUCGUGGCAGAGCGGGCCUCAGCGAGGGCGAAGACGAAAGGAGAUGCCCUUCUUGUUGUCGUGUGCGUCACCUCGUGGGUUUUCAGCACCCCUCUUUUUUUUUUCGGUGUCGUUUUACCGUUUCGCUCGCUCGCUCCUCCUUCUCCAUCCUUUUCCCGUCACGUUCGUCAUUGGCCCACAUGUGUGCCUAAAGGUUGACUGCUUCCGAGUCGUCGACGAGCUGUGCGCCUGCGUGGUCACUGUUGGUUUAUAUGUUUGGUGCAUGCAAACAUGAGCACCCCGCGAGCACUCUAUCGCCUCCUCCCUUCUGCUAUGUAUCUCUCACUCUCCCUCUGAGGCGCGCGAGGGAGAGAGGGGGAGAGAUGCUGCCCUGCACAUAAGCACACAAAACACGCGGCAGAGGGAGGCACUGAGAGGGAGUGUUUGUGUGUGUGCGUGCGUAACGUCUUUUCUGUUUGUUCUCUCUCUUGCUUGUGUGCCUGUGUAUAUGUCUCGAUACGCUCUCCUCCUCCCACCACACACACCUCCUCUCUUCCUCCCCCAUCCCUCUGAUCUUUCCGAUGAUGUACAUGCUGCUUGUCGUGUUUUGUGCAUUCUCAUGCUGCUCAUGCUGAUCUGUAUUUUUGCGUGGGAGGUGCGCGCUUUUCCUUUUUUGAUUACUUUGCUGUUAAUGGCUCCCCCCUCCCUCCCACCACCACCACCUUCCAUGUUGUUUUUUUUCCGUCGUCUGCUCCUCCGUCACGCCUUCAACUCACCGUCUUGUGGGACCGUCACCACUAAGCUCUACAAGCAAACACAAAAGCAUAAAGCACAAGGAAGGUAGUAAGAAGGGCAUGAUGUGUAUAUGUAUGUGUGUGUGUGUGUGUGCCAUUGCCUGUCUGCGACCCGUGCCUGAUGCCGGCUGUCACCGCCGCCGUCGUGCCGUCCAUGCGUGCAGGUGGAGCGCCUAGUCAGAGUCUGUCUGCGCUCGCCUCUCUCGCCUGCCUGUCGUCCUCUCCUUUCUCUUCCGGCAUCCCGCCUCUACGGCGUGAGGUAAUGGAAGUAACGAGAUCAUAUAGUGUGCAUCUAGGUGGCUCAGUGCCAGUC